GGAUGAGCCCGCGGCCUAUCAGCUUGUUGGUGGGGUAAUGGCCUACCAAGGCGGCGACGGGUAGCCGGCCUGAGAGGGUGUACGGCCACAUUGGGACUGAGAUACGGCCCAGACUCCUACGGGAGGCAGCAGUGGGGAAUAUUGCACAAUGGGCGCAAGCCUGAUGCAGCGACGCCGCGUGGGGGAUGAAGGCCUUCGGGUUGUAAACUCCUUUCGCUAGGGACGAAGCUUUGUUGUGACGGUACCUAGAUAAGAAGCACCGGCUAACUACGUGCCAGCAGCCGCGGUAAUACGUAGGGUGCGAGCGUUGUCCGGAAUUACUGGGCGUAAAGGGCUCGUAGGUGGUUUGUCGCGUCGUCUGUGAAAUUCUGGGGCUUAACUCCGGGCGUGCAGGCGAUGCGGGCAUAGCUUGAGUGCUGUA
RNAcentral lists this ribosomal RNA (421 nucleotides) under uncultured bacterium. Its description in RNAcentral is "bacterial SSU rRNA". It matches the Rfam family "Bacterial small subunit ribosomal RNA", at positions 223 to 653 of the family's 1533-position model. The record is from RNAcentral.